UCAACUCAGCAUGCUUAGCCAUCAAGGGCCGAUUCAUCUUUUUGAAAUGAAUCGGUACUUUAAAAUUGUAAUCUUGUAACUUUCGCCUGUGUAGUCCCCAAGGGCCGGUUUAUCUUUUUAAGAUGAACCGGGACUUUUACCAAUGUUUACUUUGAGCAAAUAUACAUUAGUGUGACGCCCGGAUAAUCAAUCUACAGUAACCUCUGCUAAUAAUGCCACAUCACCUCAAUUACUAUUGCUAAUCUCGCGUUAGUUAGAAACUGAUUCAAAUUCAAGUAUGAAUUAAAGUCAAAACAAUUAAAGUUUUCAACAAUUAAAACUAAAAUGUUCGGAUUGAACCAAAUAAUGCAUAGGCAAUUAUGGUGGAGAAACCAAACCUUUAUAAAAUAUUUAAAUACUAUUAGAUGGAUAAAACAUCAGGGAAACUAUUAUUUAAAUACUUUUAAAUAUUAAAUAAUUAUGAAACUAUUUUAGUUUGGGUAGCAAGUUAAUGUGGCCGUGGCAUAUUUGGUAACAACAAAUUAGGUGCCAUUUUGGUAUUUUGCUAAAACAAAAUAAAAGAGAAACUAGAAAUAAAACAGAAAAGAAAAAUAAAUAAAAAGUAAAAAGAAAGNNNNNNNNNNNNNNNNNNNNNNNNNNNNNNNNNNNNNNNNNNNNNNNNNNNNNNNNNNNNNNNNNNNNNNNNNNNNNNNNNNNNNNNNNNNNNNNNNNNNNNNNNNNNNNNNNNNNNNNNNNNNNNNNNNNNNNNNNNNNNNNNNNNNNNNNNNNNNNNNNNNNNNNNNNNNNNNNNNNNNNNNNNNNNNNNNNNNNNNNNNNNNNNNNNNNNNNNNNNNNNNNNNNNNNNNNNNNNNNNNNNNNNNNNNNNNNNNNNNNNNNNNNNNNNNNNNNNNNNNNNNNNNNNNNNNNNNNNNNNNNNNNNNNNNNNNNNNNNNNNNNNNNNNNNNNNNNNNNNNNNNNNNNNNNNNNNNNNNNNNNNNNNNNNNNNNNNNNNNNNNNNNNNNNNNNNNNNNNNNNNNNNNNNNNNNNNNNNNNNNNNNNNNNNNNGCGACGCCUCGGGCACCUCCACUCCCCUCUCUCUCUCCCUCUCUCUCUCUCUCUCUCUCUCUCGCCUGCGCUCUCUCCCCUCCUCGUCCGCCUGGGCCGCGCCUCUCCGUCACCGCUCACCGCACUCCACCGCGGCCAUCGGCCGACCUUCGCCUCGCCGACGUGCCCCAAGGCUCUGCCUCGACCUCCUCAUCCUCCCUGCCGAGCCACGCGGACCGGGACAGCCCCGCAGCACCACCGCGACCUCUUCUUCCUCCUCUGCCCCGACCCUGGCCGUCGUCGAUUAGCUCCAUCGAGCCUCCCCCGAGCCCAUGAUUGCACACCUACAGGCUCCCAGUGAGCCUCUGUUUCCUUCCCCCUCCCUGCGGCACCCCUUUCGCCCGUAGCCGCCGCUCCACUGGUACUAGCACGCAUCGCCGCCGACGAGCUCGCCUCCGUGGCCAUCGCCACUGUCACGUGCGGCUGAACCUCGCAUCGAGCUCCUAGAGCUCGUGUGAGCCUGAGCGACCACUAGCGCGCCUCCCCGUGCUGUGCAACUCCGGUUCCACUGACAACCGACUCCGUUGUCCGCUGGCGACGACCUAGCGCACGGCACCGGCCUUUUCAGCUCGCGCUCGUGCCGUAGAUCGACGCGGAACCUUGCUCCCGUUCGAACGCAACCAACCGCCGUCGUUUUGGCCGCCGGACGGCGAUUUCCGACCAUCCCCGACGCGCGCCGCCACGCGAUUUGGUCGCCGGAGCUCUCUCCGGCGCCAACGCCGACGUGGCUCAGUGGCCCCCGCCCCUGGGUCGCUGACCCGUGGGCCCCUGGGGCCCGGCUGCCCUGUUGACUUUAGUCAACUGCUGACUGGGCAGGCCCCAGUAACUGACCAGCGGGCCCCUGGGCCCCAGCUUUGACCCGUUGACUUCGGUCGAUGCUGACUGGGCCAAUCCCAGCAGCUGACAUGCGGGGCCCACCAAUAAAACCUUUUAAAAAAUACUAAUUAAUCAGUUAGUUAAAUUAGUUAGUUAAACUAAUCCCUAAUCAGACACUGACUAGUAGGGCCCACAAUCUAAUUAAGUUUUUUUUGUUUAAAUUAACCCAGUUAAUUAGCUACAGAGGCUGACAUGUGGGCCCCACAUGUCAGGGUGACAUGGUCAGCGCACAGUUGACUACUGAUGUCACACACACGACAUGCUGACGUCACCAUUACUGUUUUGGAUAAUUCGAAUUUAAUUUAAUAAAUAAAUUCCAGAAAUUCAAAUAAUCUUUGAAAAUUCAUAUCUUUUAAACCGUAACUCGGAUGAAAAUGUUUUCUACAUGAAAGUUGCUCAGAACGACGAGACGAAUCCGGAUACGCAGCCCGUUCGUCCGCCACACCUCCCUAACCUAUCGAACUCGCAACAUUCCCCCUUCGUUUCAUCUGUCCAAAAAUGCCUAACUCCGGGAAAACUUUCCGGAUAUUAUCCCCCUUCGCCAGUAUCGUGUAGCACUGCGUUAGAACACUCCUAUCGCUGCGCUUUGCCAUGUUAUGUCUUGUUAUGCACUUGCUUGCUAUGUAUUUACUGUUUCUUCCCCCUCUUCUCUCCGGUAGACCCCGAGACUGCCGGCGACCCCCAGUUCGACUACGGUGAUGACGACCCUUCCUUCUUGCCAGAGCAACCAGGCAAGCCCCCCCUGAUCACCAGAUAUCGCCUAUUCUUCUCUAUACUACUUGCAUUAGAGUAGUGUAGCAUGUUACUGCUUUCCGUUAAUCCUAUCCUGAUGCAUAGCCUGUCUUUGUUGCUACAGUUGAUACCCUUACCUGCUAUCCUACUGCUUAGUAUAGGAUGCUAGUGUUCCAUCAGUGGCCCUACACUCUUGUCCGUCUGCCAUGCUAUACUACUGGGUCGUGAUCACUUUGGGAGGUGAUCACGGGUAUAUACUAUAUACAUUAUAUACAUGACACAUGUGGUGACUAAAGUCGGGUCGGCUCGAGGAGUACCCGCAAUUGAUUCUGAUGGGGGGCUGAAAGGACAGGUGGCUCCAUCCCGGUAGAGGUGGGCCUGGGUUCCUGACGGCCCCCGACUGUUACUUUGUGGCGGAGCGACAGGGCAGGUUGAGACCACCUAGGAGAGAGGUGGGCCUGGCCCUGGUCGGCGUUCGCGGAUACUUAACACGCUUAACGAGAUCUUGGUAUUUGAUCUGAGUCUGGCCAUUUGGUCUAUACGCACUAACCAUCUACGUGGGAGUAGUUAUGGGUAUCCCGACAUCGUGGUAUCAGCCGAAGCUCUUUUGACGUCAGCGACUGAGUGGCGCGCGCCGCAUUGGACCGUAAGCUCGCGCUUGUAUUAAGGGGGCUAGGUCUGCUUCCGGCCGCGUACGCAACGUGCAGGUGUGCAUAGGGAGAUGGGCCCAGACCCCUGCGCGCAUAGGUUUAGACCGGCGUGCUGACCUCUCUGUUGAGCCUAGGUGGGGCUACGACGUGUUGAUCUUACGAGGCCGGGCAUGACCUAGAAAAUUGUGUCCGGCCAAAUGGGAUCGAGCGUGUUGGGUUAUGUGGUGCACCCCUGCAGGGAAGUUUAUCUAUUCGAAUAGCCGUGUCCCUCGGUAAAAGGACGACCCGGAGUUGUACCUUGACCUUAUGACAACUAGAACCGGAUACUGAAUAAAAUACACCCUUCCAAGUGCCAGAUACAACCCGGUGAUCGCUCUCUAACAGGGCGACGAGGAGGGGAUCGCCGGGUAGGAUUAUGCUAUGCGAUGCUACUUGGAGGACUUCAAUCUACUCUCUUCUACAUGCUGCAAGAUGGAGAUGGCCAGAAGCGUAGUCUUUGACAGGACUAGCUAUCCCCCUUUUAUUCUGGCAUUCUGCAGUUCAGUCCACUGAUAUGGCCCUUUACACAUAUACCCAUGCAUAUGUAGUGUAGCUCCUUGCUUGCGAGUACUUUGGAUGAGUACUCACGGUUGCUUUUCUCCCUCUUUUCCCCUUUUCUAUACCGGAUUGUCGCAACCAGAUGCUGGAGUCCAGGAGCUAGAGAUCCCGAGGAUGAUUCUACAUGGAGUUCGGCUUCGAGGAGUAGUUAGGAGGUCCCAGGCAGGAGGCCUUGCCUUUUCGAUCGUUGCUACUUUUGUGCUAGCCUUCUUAAGGCAAACUUGUUUAACUUAUGUCUGUACUCAGAUAUUAUUGAUUCCGCUGACUCGUCUAUGAUCGAGCACUUGUAUUCGAGCCCUCGAGGCCCCUGGCUUAUAUUAUGAUGCUUGUAUGACUUAUUUAUGUUUUAGAGUUGUGUUGUGAUAUCUUCCCGUGAGUCCCUGAUCUUGAUCAUACACAUUUGCGUGCAUGACUAGUGUACGGUCAAAUCGGGGGCGUCACAAGUUGGUAUCAGAGCCGACUGCCUGUAGGAAUCCCCCUUUCCAACUCCUUGGCCGAAGUCGAGUCUAGUUGUUGAAAAACAUUUACUAACAUGGCUGUGUGGCUUACGGACCCACGUCGCCAUUGGGUGGUAGUAGGAUCUUUUAUUCCUCAACCUAUACUCUGGGACUCUGACAUCUCUUCUAUUCGGGAUAAAUGAAUUUUGCUAAAUCUAACAUUAGGAUCUCGUUAGCACUUUCACCCGGAGAGCCCCUUAUUACAGAUGAUCGUCUGCUGCACCAGAAGGAUCCGAAGAUACUCUCUGAUGUUCUCUUGAGACUUUAUGGUGUCGCUUUUGCAAUUCCCUUUCAUCGAUAAACUCCUAUGGAUAACCGCGUAUACUCGCCAUUCAUACAAUGUUUCCCAGUUGUUCUGGUUAUUACAAGAUACCCCGAAAUUCUCUCUGUUGUUCCGAGAAUCCUUUGAGCUUACUGCCUUGCUGUUCUUUGACACCUGAAUACCCCUACGGAUAAUCCUCGCACUUACCGAGUAUCCGCUCAUCCCCAGUUGAUUCAAGUAUUCCACAAUAGUCUUCAAAAUACUAUUCGAUCUUCCGAAAAUCCUCAGGAGCCUAUUGCUCUUGAAAUUCUUGUUUGCUUGCAUUAUGGUUAAUCCCAUAAGUCUCGUAAUCUUAUUGGCAUCUCUUGUCACUAUCAUUUUGAGUCCGUUGAUUCAAUUUGUUGCGAAUGCUUGCAAUCCUCAAUCAUAGCCUAGAAUUCAUUCUUCCGACUCAGACGCCAUUUUAUACGUGAGCUGGAUCUCGACCUGUCAAAUUGCCAUCGAUUGUACCCCUAAGCCUACUCAACUUAUCCAUUCUUGAUUAGAGCGUUGCUUCUGACUCCCUUGAAUUUGACAUUAUAAUUCCUUUGCAUUGAGCUUUGAGUUAGUCAGUUGCUUCUAUAAUCCAAUGCCUUUGCAUUGUUACUUCCUCUGGUUGUGUCCCGAUGCUCACAUCAGCUCUGUUAUGGACCGACAUAUCCUUUAAUGGAUUUUAUCCGACAAUGUCCUUCAUAUUUAAUAAGCUUGUGAGCUUUUCCUCGGAUACAUGAUGCCUUUGGUAAAUUGUAUCCUCUGCUUUGUGAACCAUGCUCUACUUUUGAGCUUGUAUUAUUUACUCCGAAGUUUGUGGUAUAAGUUCCUAAGAUGCCCUGAUGGGUUGAACCUAUACCUUCCCUAAAAACCGUAUGAACCCGAAGGUUUUCACAAGCCAUACCCUUCUGGUAUUUUACCAGAUAAUUUUCUACCAUACAACUUCAUCGAAAGCGAGAAGUAAAUGAAAGGUUAUGCAUUGGAGAAGUGGGAGUUGACCUUGAACUUUGCGUUCAUGCCCAUGGACACGAUGUAGAUCUUAUCAUUAAAGCUUUUCUUAAAUUAAUUAUUCCUUUGGUAUAAGUUCAUCUUAUAUCUGGGAUCUGGCCUUUUUCAAUCAUGGUUCCGACCAUGUUCUCCUUAAAUACCAUUUCUCGUGCAAGUUUAAGCACUUGUCUUCUGUAAGAGCAAUACCCCAGUCCAACCUCUACUUUGGUUUGUCGUCGAGUAUUACCCCCUGGUAUCUCGAGAUUAUCACGGAACUGCAUAACUUCUUAUGAGUUCUCCAUCAAGUAUUACAUUCUCAUGGAUUCCAAUUUUUCACGGGCUCCGAGUUAUUAAACACUCAAGGACAUCGAUAACUGAAUCGAGUCCGCAUCAUGAUUAAACAACUCUUAAUAAUCUCCCUUGUUUACGAGUUCGUACCCGAUCACGUCAUCCCUAGCCUGCUCGGCUAUGUUAUUAUCGUGCCGAUUUUAACUGUGCUACCUGGUCUUUAUUCCCGGAGCACCACCUUCGACGCUGAGCUAAGCUUAUGUCGAUUUUCCUCGUCAUAUCAUUUCGCCUUGAACAGCAAGCUUGAUUUCGAGUUUGUGUCGUACCCCUGGUUCCAAUAACUUUUCGCUUCAUCAUUCCUUUGACUUGAUGUCAUCGCCGAUCGAUUACCUCUUCAUAAAUUCUCGCUACAAAUGUGUCGUGAACAUCAUCAACAUUCUGAGCUCUUCCAAGAUAUCUAUCGAAUUCUGGAUGAGAAAUACCAUCCUUGCCCUCGAUGAUUUGUUUUAUCAUCGACCAUUUUAUCGCCUUCCAUUCAACACAAACUUGUUCGUGUUUUGUGUUGUACCUUGAUUUCCUUGCUAUCUAGCUUAUGAUAUGUUCUACCUUGGAGUAUUACCAUCUUUUAUGUCAAGUAUGUCGUAAGAAUUUCACCACCUCGUAUGACAUCUUGGUAUAGUGAUACUUCUCCCCAUCACCAUUCUUUCUUGGUCCCCGUGUUGUUUCUAAAGGGAAUACCGACCAAUGGUCUGUGAUGUGUAAAUUCUAAACUUCUAGCAACCCUACUGCUUUGAAGUUAUUGGUCUAUAGCUUCAUUCUACGUCUAUGGCUUAAUGAAUCAUCAUUCGAACAUUGAUUGUGCUACCUAGCCCAUAUUUCGGGUGCACAUUUCAACCAAUGUUUAACUGUGUAUGUUUUCCUCGAGCAUACAUCAUUAAGUCAUUCGAUCUAGUUAAUGUUAUCUCCUUGUUCACAUAGCGGUGGAAAUCCACAUUUUGGAAAUCUCAAUGGAUUGUCGCUGAGACAAUCAGCCACCUCCUCAUCCUCUCGUUGGUAUACUGAUGGACUCUUGUUUCGGAACUCGCUUCCAUAGUUCGUUUCCCGAGAAUCUUACAAUGUCAUCUCGUCAAUUGGUGUUGCACCUUUCUUCUCAGGCAUCCUGAGUCUGAGUUAUCCUGACACCAAUCAAAUCUGAAUCUCGGUCAGAUAUGAUGGUUGGAACAUAUUUCCAAGAGUUAUAACAUUGGCCUAUUUAUGACCCGGUAAGGUGAUGACAUGCCGAACACACCUGGCCGGAGGACCUAUUGUUAUAAGCUUUCCUUUCAGCAAGGUUAUCUAUUCUUCCAUGAGGAAAUUGUAAGACUUAUUCUAUAGGUUGUUCCUGAUGGAUACUUUUUGAUUCCAAAGUUUGAUCUUCACCUGUUGACCAUGUCAAUGCUAUCUCGAAGCAUGUCUGUGUUACUCCGAUCUUCAAUAAAAACAUUUGAAGCACAAUGCUAAAUUUUCGUUAUCAAUUAUUCAAACACCGUUCUUUGGGUAAUGUCAUGAACUUCCUCUUCCCUAACCUAAAUGGUUCUCUUCUAACCAUUGUCCUUGGGAAGGAUAUACCCCCCUGAAAUAUGUGUUUAAACACAUUUUCCUUUCCAUUGUUCUGUUUACUUUGAUAAUCAUAUUUUCCUUUCCAUUGGUUGGCUUAACGUUUCUGGUCAUCAUUACGAUCUAAGCAGUAUUAAUUCCCUGCUUGUGCAAACACCUCGGUGUACAACUCUGUCAGUAAGACUCUGUUACUAUUGUUGGUGACAUUCCGGUAACCACCGAUGGAUGAGAACUUUGCCUAUUGGUCCGCCUCGUUCAACGAGCAGGAAAAUGGUUCUCUUCAUCCCUCGCCCUUGGUACCGACGAUGUUGCUGACAUAUAACUGACAGGCUACCCUCUGACAUGUCUUGCUAUCAUGACCGUGCAAGAUGUCACUGCUCCUAUAAAAAAACAACCACAUGGUGGGCCCAUAACCCACAGUUCCACAGGAUCGAAACCUGACUCUCUUGUACACCCCUGUUCCCAAGGUUAUUCCUCACGCUUGGCUUCGUAUGUAGUUCACGUGCCACCUUUCGUGAGAUCAUCAAUUUUGGUAUCAGACACAAUACUUAUUCCCGUUGCUCUGAACCCUUCAGGCAUCGAACGAUUGCCUGCCCGCUCGAAACUUCCCCACGAUACCUCCUUACUUUGCUCUCGAUAUUGUCUUAAAUUUCCAUUCGAGAGUUACUUUCCGCCACCUUCCCCGAUGUUAUCAACCAAAUAGUCAUCCUUCCAGAGGUUCGUUCCCCCGGAAUACCCACCCUUUAUUUCUUUCGUAAGAUCAAUGGAAUUCCCAAGGAAAGGAUGUCGGCUUCAUCAUGAUGAACUGAAGCAGAGAAAUGAAGACCUCAAGUAAUGGAUCGACCUCUUUGAGAAGAGCAACCAAGACCGAGAAGAUCCGUUAGAUUUUUUUUCGUAACCCAAUCCCUUCCCCCCUUACUCCCCUCCUAAAUCUCGGGACGAGAUUUCUUGUAGUGGAGGAGAAUUGUGACGCCCGGAUAAUCAAGCUACAGUAACCUCUGCUAAUAAUGCCACAUCACCUCAAUUACUAUUGCUAAUCUCGCGUUAGUUAGAAACUGAUUCAAAUUCAAGUAUGAAUUAAAGUCAAAACAAUUAAAGUUUCAACAAUUAAAACUAAAAUGUUCGGAUUGAACCAAAUAAUGCAUAGGCAAUUAUGGUGGAGAAAUCAAACCUUUAUAAAAUAUUUAAAUACUAUUAGAUGGAUAAAACAUCAGGGAAAACUAUUAUUUAAAUACUUUUAAAUAUUAAAUAAUUAUGAAACUAUUUUAGUUUGGGUAGCAAGUUAAUGUGGCCGUGGCAUAUUUGGUAACAACAAAUUAGGUGCCAUUUUGGUAUUUUGCUAAAACAAAAUAAAAGAGAAACUAGAAAUAAAACAGAAAAGAAAAAUAAAUAAAAAGUAAAAAGAAANNN
This 9008-nucleotide long non-coding RNA is filed under the name Triticum aestivum (bread wheat). Its description in RNAcentral is "long non-coding RNA (TAES_LNC013637)". The record is from RNAcentral. Lineage: Eukaryota; Viridiplantae; Streptophyta; Magnoliopsida; Poales; Poaceae.